GACGAACGCUGGAGGCGUGCUUAACACAUGCAAGUCGAACGGAAAGGCCCUGCUUUUGUGGGGUGCUCGAGUGGCGAACGGGUGAGUAACACGUGAGUAACCUGCCCUUGACUUUGGGAUAACUUCAGGAAACUGGGGCUAAUACCGGAUAGGAGCUCCUGCUGCAUGGUGGGGGUUGGAAAGUUUCGGCGGUUGGGGAUGGACUCGCGGCUUAUCAGCUUGUUGGUGGGGUAGUGGCUUACCAAGGCUUUGACGGGUAGCCGGCCUGAGAGGGUGACCGGCCACAUUGGGACUGAGAUACGGCCCAGACUCCUACGGGAGGCAGCAGUGGGGAAUAUUGCACAAUGGGCGGAAGCCUGAUGCAGCAACGCCGCGUGCGGGAUGACGGCCUUCGGGUUGUAAACCGCUUUCGCCUGUGACGAAGCGUGAGUGACGGUAAUGGGUAAAGAAGCACCGGCUAACUACGUG
This 468-nucleotide ribosomal RNA is filed under the name uncultured bacterium. RNAcentral describes it as "partial 16S ribosomal RNA". It matches the Rfam family "Bacterial small subunit ribosomal RNA", at positions 28 to 507 of the family's 1533-position model. The record is from RNAcentral.